CCCCCUCGCUCAUCUCUCCCCCUGGCGAUCCUUCGCUAUCAACCCUAGCCGCCCUCAUCUCAAAAAAAAAAAACCCUAGCCGCCCUGCCGAUCUCCUUCUUCCUCCACGCGCGACCAGGGAAGCCCCAACAUGGCGCAGGACCCGGAGGUCGCUGGCGUGUUCCAUGGCCGACCGUCCGAGCUCGCCAUCAUCAUCCCCUCGCACGGCCGUCCAACGUCGCCAUCAUCAUCGAAGCGCAGGCUGCGCAGCCCGUCGAGGGCACACCUGACUCAUCUAGGCAUUCUCCUCAAGCGGCUAAUGAAGCACCCUCUUGAUCUGAUCCUCCUCCACGCGCGGGACUCGGAGGUAGCCGGGGUCCUCCUCGCUUGGCCAUGCGAACUCGCCUCACCAUCGACCUCAUCCCAGGCUCAAGAAGCCACAGUGAAGUACCACUCGAUCUCAGCGUGGGCACCUGGGUCCGGAUAGGCUGCCUCCAGUGAAGCGUCGUACUGACUUUUCUCUCCGUCAGGUGUCAGCAACGACUCCUGCCAUGCCACUAGACUCUCCUCUUGUUGUCUAACUCUGCUCGGAUCGCCCACCCCUUGCUUGUGCGGCUCGCCUCCAUGUGUACCUGUGUGCAGGAUCCAUCCAGACAGAUCAAGGAGCGUAUCGAGCUGUGCAUCGAUCAGAUCGAUGCCGUCCACGCUGCCGGUACCUACCCGCUUUCCAAGAUGAAGAUCAGGCUCAGAAUGAGAGACGCAAUGAUUCGAGGGACAACUGCGUUGACACAAGUCGGAGCUAGGUAGGGAGGUUAAGGAGCUGGUCUGAAUUUUCGAAUAUUGUUACUUAUCAGUGCAUAUGAAUCAUUAUUGUUACUUUUCAUUUGGGUAUCACCUACUAUUUAUGACUGCUACCGACUCACGUUUAAGCAAAUGCAGAUAUCCAACUAGAAACCAAUCAUGAUUUAAUUUAGAGUUUUAAGAAGGCAUGGUUUUUUAAGCAGAUGGAAUGAUUAUACCUUGAUUAUAUGCCACAGUUGCGAGAAUAGGUAAAGGCGAUGUAUACAGCAAUGCUUCAUCAUUUCAGUUGCUUUAGAGGGUUAAAACUAAUCUACCGUGGUAUAUGUCACAUUUGCGGGAACAGAUGAAUGCAAGGUAUAUCACAAUGCUUCAUUGCAAAUGUCCACUGUUAUAUGUAUGCUUUAUCAAUAACACUGUUAUAUGACUAAUUUAGUUAUGGUUAAUGCCAUCUACUAUAUUUUCAUCUUGAGUUGACAUCACUUCAUUGAUGGACCAUGUAGGCUUGCAGGCUGUUGCAAUGCUCCAUGACAACUACAGAAUUCAGCGAAGAAACUAACACAUCUCCCUGGUAUUGAGUUAUUAGAAACUUUGCAGUUGCACAUCUAUAGUAAUCAUGACCAAACAUUGUUAUUGUGUAGUUCAAAAUUUAGUAGUAGUAACUGUCUGUGCUAGAUCCAGUAUUUUACUUUCUGACAGACACGGCUUAGCAUUGUAAGUGGAAGAUUGGGCCCAAAUCUUACUCUACGGGUAUUUCAAGGUUUGAACUUAAUGGUGUUAAUUUUCUUUCCCUACUACCAGUUUGAGUUAACUUCUGUAUUUUUCCCAUGUGGUUUGAACCAUAGUGCAAGUUGGAAGAUCUUUCUUUUUGUUCGACGGAAUUAUUCUAUAGUUGUAUCUUCCAAUAUUGCAAGUUUAUGCAAUGUAGUUUUAUGGGUGCAACAAUUCCUUUGUUGUGCUUAUGCAGAGCAUGAUUUAGUUGCCUUUACACCACUUUUUUUUAUAUCAAACUCAUGUACACAGAUCUGGCUAGCUAUGUGGGAUAGGAAAUGAUACACCUUAUGGCUGGCUGUGAAUAGACGAGGAGGAGGCGGAUGUGGUGGCCGCCGGAGCGUAGCGGAGAGAGCCGCCGGAACGGAGCGGAGAUGCCCGUCGCGGCCGCCAUGGAGUAGACGGUCAGAGUGCCGGCGGUGCUUGCCCGUCGCGGCCAUGCGGAGGAAACAGUCGAAGACGCCCAUCGCGUUUGCGUGGAGGCUCCCGUCGGAGUGCCUGCGCGGGGAGGUGGCCGGAGUGGCAGCGGCAGAGCUCCACUUGGCCGUGAUUCCCCUUGCUCCCGCUCGCUCGAUUCUGCCCGUGUGUGGGAGGAAGGUUGACUAGCUGCUGUCUUGGGCUGUUUUCUCUGCUGGCCAUUGGAUGAGAAUGAACGGUGGAUUGAGAGGCUCGGGGCACAGCGUGACCUGUGAGCGUCAGGGCACUGGAUCUCAGUCCAGGAAGCAAUAACACUCUUAUAUGACUAAUUUAGUUAUGGCUAAUGCCAUCUACUAUAUUUUCAUCUUGAGUUGACAUCACUUCAUUGAUGGACCAUGUAGGCUUGCAGGCUGUUGCAAUGCUCCAUGACAACUACAGAAUUCAGCGAAGAAACUAACACAUCUCCCUGGUAUUGAGUUAUUAGAAACUUUGCAGUUGCACAUCUAUAGUAAUCAUGAUCAAACAUUGUUAUUGUGUAGUUCAAAAUUUAGUAGUAGUAACUGUCCGUGCUAAUGAUCCAGUAUUUUACUUUCUAAAAGACACGGCUUAGCAUUGUAAGUGGAAGAUUGGGCCCAAAUCUUACUUUAUGGGUAUUUCAAGGUUUGAACUUAAUGGUGUUAAUUUUCUUUCCCUACUACCAGUUUGAGUUAACUUCUGUAUUUUUCCCAUGUGGUUUGAACCAUAGUGCAAGUUGGAAGAUCUUUCUUUUUGUUCGACGGAAUUAUUCUAUAGUUGUAUCUUCCAAUAUUGCAAGUUUAUGCAUUGUAGUUUUAUGGGUGCAACAAAUCCUUUGUUGUGCUUAUGCAGAGCAUGAUUUAGUUGCCUUUACACUCCAAUUUUUUUUAUAUCAAACUCAUGUACACAGAUCUGGCUAGCUAUGUGAGAUAGGAAAUGAUACACCUUAUGGCUGGCUGUGAAUAGACGAGGAGGAGGUGGAUGUGGUGGCCGCUGGAGCGGAGCGGAGAGAGCCGCUGGAACGGAGCGGAGAGGCCCGUCGCGGCCGCCGUGGAGUAGACGGUCAGAGUGCCGGCAGUGCUUGCCCGCCGCGGCCACGCGGAGGAAACAGUCAAAGACGCCCGUCGCGUUUGCGCGGAGGCUCCCGUCGGAGUGCCUGCGCGGGGAGGCGGCCAGAGUGGCAGCGGCAGAGCUCCGCUUGGCCGUGAUUCCCCUUGCUCCCGCUCGCUCGAUUCUGCCCGUGUGUGGGAGGAAGGUUGACUAGCUGCUGUCUUGGGCUGUUUUCUCUGCUGGCCAUUGGAUGAGAAUGAACGGUGGAUUGAGAGGCUCGGGGCACAGCGUGACCUGUGAGAGUCAGGGCACUAGAUCUCAGUCCAGGUAUCGUGCAGGUGGGCUCUUCUUUUGUUCAUUGAUGUUCCUUGCUUUGCUUGUUCUCAUGCUGCUUCCCUUUUUGGUUUGUUAUUGUUUCCAGUUCGGUUGAAGUACAAAGAACGAAAGAUCAUCAUUGUUCGUUUGUCUCUCCGAAUUGUUAUAAAAAUGCAGACACUUCUCAAGUUCACAAUCUUAGUUAGUAAUAAACCUCUCUGUAACCGGUAGUCAGAAAGAGGGCAAUUAGUUCUAGCUUGAUUCUGUAAUUCACCUGAUGUCAUUUCUUGCCGGUCAGGUAUCCAAUUGAACAUUGACCAUGCUGCUUCACAUCCUGCUCUUGAGAACUCAUCCUGUCAUUAGGUUAGAAUUCUAUGAACACCUAAGAAGACACCCACUGUAGCAAGCCUCUUUUGUGAUGUCUGAAGAUGAUAUGGAAGAGUACUGCAGACAACUCAUCUCAACUAUUCCACAUGCCUCAUUGCUUCUGAUGGAUGGUGAAAUGCCUAAUGUGGGAUCCGGACCUGAUGUCGCGGGAGAUGACAGCGGAGCUACGAAGAUCGAUCGACGCAAGUGGAAAACUCAAGAGAGAUAAAUGGGCGGUGAGGUGGCUUCGGUGGAGGAGUAAAAUGCAAGGCCAUGGGCUGUAGAAGAGAUGGGUAGAGUACGAGAAAGAUGUCGUGGCUUGGAUGCAUUCACGCUGCAAGACUACAUUACGGCGGUCGCACUGCAGCGCGGUUCUUCUCUUUUUCGUUUUAUGAGUUAGUUUUUAAGCUCACCUAAAGACAUCGGGCCCUUAUGAGUUAGUUUUUAAGCUCACCUAAAGACAUCGGGCCCCUUCCAGGAGGCUAAGCAAGUUAUAAGGAAAAAUGUGUAUCAUUUCUCUUGAUAAAUGUGCCUUAUCAUAUUUAUAAUUAUGAAUUGGUGACUUCAUUUUUUUGCA
Molecule: long non-coding RNA, 4288 nt
Organism: Lolium perenne
Lineage: Eukaryota; Viridiplantae; Streptophyta; Magnoliopsida; Poales; Poaceae
Source: RefSeq, a predicted model, not a curated record